GACGAACGCUGGCGGCGUGCUUAACACAUGCAAGUCGAACGGAAAGGCCCUGCUUUUGUGGGGCGCUCGAGUGGCGAACGGGUGAGUAACACGCGAGUAACCUGCACUUGACUUUGGGAUAACUUCAGGAAACUGGGGCUCAUAUCGGAUAGGAGCUCCUGCUGCAUGGUGGGGGUUGGAAAGUUUCGGCGGUUGGGGAUGGACUCGCGGCUUCUCAGCUUGUUGGUGGGGUAGUGGCUUACCAAGGCUUUGAAGGGUAGCCGGCCUGGGAGGGGGACCGGCCACAUGGGGACUAAGAUACGGCGCAGACUCCUACGGGAGGCAGCAGGGGGGAAUAUUGCACAGUGGGGGGGAGCCUGAUGCAGCAACGCCGCGUGCGGAAUGACGGCCUUCGAGUUGUAAACCGCUUUCGCCUGUGACGAAGCGUUAGUGACGGUAAUGGGUAAAGAAGCACCGGCUAACUACGUG
This 468-nucleotide ribosomal RNA is filed under the name uncultured bacterium. RNAcentral describes it as "partial 16S ribosomal RNA". It matches the Rfam family "Bacterial small subunit ribosomal RNA", at positions 28 to 507 of the family's 1533-position model. The record is from RNAcentral.